RNAcentral lists this ribosomal RNA (483 nucleotides) under uncultured bacterium. Its description in RNAcentral is "partial 16S ribosomal RNA". It matches the Rfam family "Bacterial small subunit ribosomal RNA", at positions 29 to 506 of the family's 1533-position model. The record is from RNAcentral.
AUUGAACGCUGGCGGCAUGCUUUACACAUGCAAGUCGAACGGCAGCGCGGGCUUCGGCCUGGCGGCGAGUGGCGAACGGGUGAAUAAUGCAUCGGAACGUGCCCAGUAGUGGGGGAUAGCCCGGCGAAAGCCGGAUUCAUACCGCAUACGACCUGAGGGUGAAAGCGUGGGACCGAAAGGCCUCGCGCUAUUGGAGCGGCCGAUGUGGGAUUAGCUAGUUGGUGGGGUAAAGGCUUACCAAGGCGACGAUCCGUAGAUGGUCUGAGAGGACGACCGGCCAAACUGAGACUGAGAAACGGCCCAGACGCCUACGGGAGGCAGCAGGGGGGAAUUUUGAACAAUGGGGGCAACCAUGAUCCAGCCAUGCCGCGGGAGGGAAGAAGGCCUUCGGGUGGUAAACCGAUUUUGUGCGGGAAGAAAGCCUCUGGGCUAAUACCCCGGGGGGAUGACGGUACCGGAAGAAUAAGCACCGGCUAACUACGU